RNAcentral lists this long non-coding RNA (1828 nucleotides) under Salmo salar (Atlantic salmon). RNAcentral's name for it is "lncRNA (ENSSSAG00000089503.1)". The record is from RNAcentral. Lineage: Eukaryota; Metazoa; Chordata; Actinopteri; Salmoniformes; Salmonidae.
AUUGACUUGAUUGCCUUAUUAGUAUGAGUAGCCCAUAAUAAUUAACACAGAACACAACCAAUUUCAAGCUAAUCAAGCCGUGUGGAGAAGAAGACAAUCGCUGACUAGGUAUACAGACAAGGAUACAUACAAAGUUACAGUCUUGUCUCAUUGCUGCAACUCCCGUAUGGACUCGGGAGAGGCGAAACAUAACCCAACCAAGCCGCACUGCUUCUUGACACAAUGCCCACUUAACCCGGAAGCCAGUCACACCAAUGUAUUGGAGGAAACACCUGGCGACCGUGUCAGCGUGCACUGCGCCCAGCCUGACACAGGAGUCACUAGUGUUCGAUGGGACAAGGACAUCCCUGCCGGCCAAACCCUCCCCUAACCCGGACAACGCUGGGCUAAUUGUGUGCCGCGUCAUGGGUCUCCAAGUUGCGACCAGCUGUGACAGAGCGGCACAGCGACUCAGUGCCUUAAACCACUGCGCCAAGGUAAGCAAAUCAUCGACCAGAGCGUCAAGUGUGCACUCCGAGAGCGAAACAAGAUGGGUGGGGCUAAAGCUUAAGAGGGUGUGAAAGAUGCUGAAUGGUGUCGAAAAAGAAGAGUUCUUCACCAGAUACCAAAACAUUCAAAGGCCAUUUUUCUAAGUUGAUGAGAGAGAAACUACUUAAUCCAUUUUAGAAUAAGGCUGUAACGAAAUAUGCAAAAAGUCUGAAUACUUUCCGAGCCAGCACAUGGAGCCAGCACGUGGAGACUUGCAAGAUGAUGUGAUAAAGUCCAGACUGACAGACAGGAGAGAGGCCUGGCACUCAACAUAAAAUGUUUUACGGGACAACUUUUACUUGUAUUGUCUUUAUUAUUGAAUUGAAUGCUAUCAGUCAAGAUGGGGAGGGAGGAAGCCUGUGUAUUCUGCACUAAGUUCAGGGAACUCCUAUUGUAUCCAGGACAUGUCACAGGAAGGUAUGACCACUGCAUUGUUUGCCAAGGUAGGCCCAUUACCACCAGACAAAAUACCGUUAGGCACAGUAUCUGUAUCGGCAGGGAAUGACAAUGAAGGAUAAAAGGUUGACAUUGUUAUAUUAGCAGAACACUGCUUCUAUAGAAUAAACAAUCCUUUACAAAAUACUAUCAUGGACCUGUUACUACAUUUGAAAGUUAUCAAAACACUUAGUUUAGAAUAUCUACAUAAAUUAAUCAAUUGCAUUCUUUUCAUGUUACUCUGUAGGCUACUGACCUAUUUAACGCUUCCUCCGGCAUCUCACCGUACAUCUGCCUGUAGUUAUUGAACUCAAGCUGCAGGAAGUUUGUUUGUUGUGAUUGAGUGGGGGGAAACAGAGGCAAAUGCAGCAUCAUACAAUGCUUGUAGCUAUCUCCACUUAGGCUACUGAUAGUGGAUUGAGCAUAGUGCUCAACAUUGCCUGUGAAAGUGGGUUAAAAUAGCUAAUAUUCAAAAAUGUUAAACAAUAAGACAUGAUCACUUAAAGUAGGUAAUCAAAAAUAUGAAGUAGAUGUAAUGAAGAAUAAGAGUUUUGGAAUUGAUAAAUUAAGUUGGAUCCAAGCCAUUUUUUUUAGAUGCAGGACUUAUAGUGUUUGUGUCACGUCCUGACCAUAGUGAGGUCUUAUUUUCUAUGGUAGAGUAGGUCAGGGUGUGACUGUUUUUUUUAAAUUUAGUUCUAGUUUCUUUUUUCUAUGUUGGGAUUUUUGUAUGAUCCCCAAUUAGAGGCAGCUGGUCAUCGUUGUCUCUAAUUGGGGAUCAUAUUUAAGUAGUUUUUCCCACCUGUGUUUGUGGGAGAUUAUUUUGAGUUAGUGCAUGUUGCACCUCUUUCGUCACGGUUUGUGUUUU